This 255-nucleotide ribosomal RNA is filed under the name uncultured bacterium. Its description in RNAcentral is "partial 16S ribosomal RNA". It matches the Rfam family "Bacterial small subunit ribosomal RNA", at positions 524 to 776 of the family's 1533-position model. The record is from RNAcentral.
UACGGAGGGUGCGAGCGUUGUCCGGAAUCACUGGGCGUAAAGGGCGCGUAGGCGGCGCGGGAAGUCAUCGGUGAAAGUUCAGGGCUCAACUCUGAAUCGGCCGGUGAUACUCUCGUGCUUGAGCACUGUAGAGGCAGGUGGAAUUCCGGGUGUAGCGGUGGAAUGCGUAGAGAUCCGGAAGAACACCGGUGGCGAAGGCGGCCUGCUGGGCAGUAGCUGGACGCUGAGGCGCGACAGCGUGGGGGAGCAAACAGG